UACGUAGGUGGCAAGCGUUGUCCGGAAUUAUUGGGCGUAAAGCGCGCGCAGGUGGUCCUUUAAGUCUGAUGUGAAAGCCCACGGCUCAACCGUGGAGGGUCAUUGGAAACUGGGGGACUUGAGUGCAGAAGAGGAUAGUGGAAUUCCAAGUGUAGCGGUGAAAUGCGUAGAGAUUUGGAGGAACACCAGUGGCGAAGGCGACUAUCUGGUCUGUAACUGACACUGAGGCGCGAAAGCGUGGGGAGCAAACAGGAUUAGAUACCCUGGUAGUCCACGCCGUAAACGAUGAGUGCUAAGUGUUAGGGGGUUUCCGCCCCUUAGUGCUGCAGCUAACGCAUUAAGCACUCCGCCUGGGGAGUACGGUCGCAAGACUGAA
Molecule: ribosomal RNA, 376 nt
Filed under: uncultured bacterium
Lineage: Bacteria
Description: bacterial SSU rRNA
Rfam family: Bacterial small subunit ribosomal RNA
Source: RNAcentral